Molecule: long non-coding RNA, 505 nt
Organism: Canis lupus familiaris (dog)
Lineage: Eukaryota; Metazoa; Chordata; Mammalia; Carnivora; Canidae
Exons: 3
Source: RefSeq, a predicted model, not a curated record
AAGGCCAUGGCAUUUUGAUUCAUAAUCACAUUAUUGACAUGUUCUGUCAUAUGAAAGCUUUAGACUCUUGCCUUUAUAUUUAGUGUUCUGAAAAUUCAAAACACCCAAUUACUAAAAAAGGAAAAACAAAACCACACCUGGAAUUGUGUCAAUGUUGCAGAUAGCAUUUGGCACAAAUAAUGCAUGAAGAUUCAGGACCAGAAGAUAAAAUUGUGAGGGAAACUGGGAAGAGAUAAAUAAUAUGUAUUACAGAGGAUAAUUUACUGAAAAAUGGAUAAAGAAAAGAAAUGAUAUGGUCCUUGAGAAGUUGUGAACAAAAGGAAGCACAACCUUUGGAUAUAUAUGGUGGAAAAUUUAGAAUCACUGUAUUGAAGAAGUUUCAAAUACUGUUUCUACAAAUGUCAUCCUCGAAGUAAAUAGUUUGCUAAACCUCAACAGAAUCCAAUAUUCAACAUAAAAUAAGUAUCAACUGGGCAGUAGAUUACAUGUGAACAUGUAAAAGUUA